GAUCAUGGCUCAGGACGAACGCUGGCGGCGUGCCUAACACAUGCAAGUCGAGCGGGGUCCAUCCGGUAGCAAUACCGGGGAAGACCUAGCGGCGAACGGGUGAGUAACACGUGAGAAACCUGCCCCGAAGUCUGGGAUAACCCGAGGAAACUCGAGCUAAUACCGGAUGUCUUCUUCUGAUCGCAUGGUCGGAUGAAGAAAGAUUUAUCGCUUCGGGAGGGUCUCGCGGCCUAUCAGCUAGUUGGCGGGGUAACGGCCCACCAAGGCGUCGACGGGUAGCUGGUCUGAGAGGACGAUCAGCCACACUGGGACUGAGACACGGCCCAGACUCCUACGGGAGGCAGCAGUGGGGAAUAUUGCGCAAUGGGCGAAAGCCUGACGCAGCAACGCCGCGUGCGGGAUGAAGGCCUUCGGGUUGUAAACCGCUUUCAGUGGGGACGAAUUCAGACGGUACCCACAGAAGAAGCCCCGGCCAACUACGUG
Molecule: ribosomal RNA, 483 nt
Filed under: uncultured bacterium
Lineage: Bacteria
Description: bacterial SSU rRNA
Rfam family: Bacterial small subunit ribosomal RNA
Source: RNAcentral